AGAGAUCUUGAUGCAGACGCCCUUUUGGAUUUCUUUUUAAUAAUGUGUGACCCUUCACCUUUGAUCCCUUGACCUGCAUUACUUUGGUUUGACUUGUCUGCUUUUCAGCUCUUCUAGACAUUGGAAAUUCCAGUUUGUGUUUGUUUUCUCUGGAUUUCUUCCCACAAGACAGAAGUGAAUUCAGCAUGGAUUAUGGGGCAGAGCCUUGGCUGGGAAUAAGGAUAAUUGCAGUCUCUGGCUGUGCCACAGAUUUACUGAUGAUUUCUUUUAAGUUAUUCACCUGCACUGUAUCUGUUUCCUCAGCUGUAAAAUAUGGGUAAUUACCUCCAUUGUAAAAUGUUAUGGGGUCUGCUGGUAAUUAUAUGAAUGAAGUGCUAAUUACAGUGAUUAUUACUUGGA
This is a long non-coding RNA of Tyto alba (common barn owl), 399 nucleotides long. RefSeq lists it as uncharacterized. The record is from RefSeq and is a predicted model, not a curated record. The transcript is spliced from 2 exons. Lineage: Eukaryota; Metazoa; Chordata; Aves; Strigiformes; Tytonidae.